UGGGGAAUCUUGCACAAUGGAGGAAACUCUGAUGCAGCGAUGCCGCGUGAGUGAAGAAGGCCUUUGGGUUGUAAAGCUCUUUUGUAGGGGAAGAUAAUGACUGUACCCUAAGAAUAAGGUCCGGCUAACUUCGUGCCAGCAGCCGCGGUAACACGAAGGGACCUAGCGUAGUUCGGAAUUACUGGGCGUAAAGCGUGCGCAGGCGGUUCGGAAAGAGAGGUGUGAAAUCCCAGGGCUUAACCUUAGAACUGCACUCAAUACUCCCAUGCUAGAGGAAUGUAGAGGAGAGUGGAAUUCACGGUGUAGCAGUGAAAUGCGUAGAUAUCGUGAGGAAGACCAGUUGCGAAGGCGACUCUCUGGGCAUUUCCUGACACUGAGGCACGAAGGCCAGGGGAGCAAACGGG
This 404-nucleotide ribosomal RNA is filed under the name uncultured bacterium. RNAcentral's name for it is "bacterial SSU rRNA". It matches the Rfam family "Bacterial small subunit ribosomal RNA", at positions 355 to 776 of the family's 1533-position model. The record is from RNAcentral.